GACGUAGGGCGCGAGCGUUGUCCGGAUUUAUUGGGCGUAAAGGGUGCGUAGGCGGCGCGGUAAGUCGGGUGUGAAAUUUCGAGGCUUAACUUCGAAACUGCAUUCGAUACUGCCGUGCUAGAGGACUGGAGAGGAGACUGGAAUUUACGGUGUAGCGGUGAAAUGCGUAGAUAUCGUAAGGAAGACCAGUGGCGAAGGCGGGUCUCUGGACAGUUCCUGACGCUGAGGCACGAAGGCCAGGGGAGCAAACGGG
This 253-nucleotide ribosomal RNA is filed under the name uncultured bacterium. RNAcentral's name for it is "partial 16S ribosomal RNA". It matches the Rfam family "Bacterial small subunit ribosomal RNA", at positions 524 to 776 of the family's 1533-position model. The record is from RNAcentral.